RNAcentral lists this ribosomal RNA (909 nucleotides) under uncultured bacterium. Its description in RNAcentral is "bacterial SSU rRNA". It matches the Rfam family "Bacterial small subunit ribosomal RNA", at positions 1 to 912 of the family's 1533-position model. The record is from RNAcentral.
UAGAGUUUGAUCAUGGCUCAGGAUGAACGCUAGCGGCAAGCUUAAUACAUGCAAGUCGAGGGGCAGCAUGAAGUAGCAAUACUUUGAUGGCGACCGGCAAACGGGUGCGGAACACGUACACAACCUUCCUUUUAGCGGGGAAUAGCCCAGAGAAAUUCGGAUUAAUACCCCGUAACAUAACGAUGUGGCAUCACAUUGUUAUUAUAGCUUCGGCGCUAGAUGAUGGGUGUGCGUAUGAUUAGAUAGUUGGCGAGGUAACGGCUCACCAAAUCUACGAUCAUUAGCUGAUGUGAGAGCAUGAUCAGCCACACGGGCACUGAGACACGGGCCCGACUCCUACGGGAGGCAGCAGUAAGGAAUAUUGGUCAAUGGACGCAAGUCUGAACCAGCUAUGCCGCGUGAAGGAUUAAGGUCCUCUGGAUUGUAAACUUCUUUUAUCUGGGACGAAAAAAGGUCUUUCUAGAUCACUUGACGGUACCAGAUGAAUAAGCACCGGCUAACUCCGUGCCAGCAGCCGCGGUAAUACGGAGGGUGCAAGCGUUAUCCGGAUUCACUGGGUUUAAAGGGUGCGUAGGCGGGCAGGUAAGUCAGUGGUGAAAUCCUGGAGCUCAACUCCAGAACUGCCAUUGAUACUAUCUGUCUUGAAUAUUGUGGAGGUAAGCGGAAUAUGUCAUGUAGCGGUGAAAUGCUUAGAUAUGACAUAGAACACCCAUUGCGAAAGCAGCUUACUACGCAUAUAUUGACGCUGAGGCACGAAAGCGUGGGGAUCAAACAGGAUUAGAUACCCUGGUAGUCCACGCCCUAAACGAUGGAUACUCGACAUACGCGAUACACUGUGUGUGUCUGAGCGAAAGCAUUAAGUAUCCCACCUGGGAAGUACGUUCGCAAGAAUGAAACUCAAAGGAAUUG